Molecule: ribosomal RNA, 253 nt
Filed under: uncultured bacterium
Lineage: Bacteria
Description: partial 16S ribosomal RNA
Rfam family: Bacterial small subunit ribosomal RNA
Source: RNAcentral
UACGGGGGGUGCGAGCGUUGUCCGGAAUCACUGGGCGUAAAGAGCUCGUAGGCGGUCUGUCGCGUCGGCUGUGAAAUCCCGGAGCUCAACUCCGGGUCUGCAGUCGAUACGGGCAAACUGGAGUACUGCAGGGGAGACUGGAAUUCCUGGUGUAGCGGUGAAAUGCGCAGAUAUCAGGAGGAACACCGGUGGCGAAGGCGGGUCUCUGGGCAGUAACUGACGCUGAGGAGCGAAAGCGUGGGGAGCGAACAGG